GUAUAAACCCGGCGUAGGGGUCAACCAUAAUCAAUAAUGUGGUUAACCCCCAGGAUAUUGGUUUUCCAAUGUACUUUGGACUGGCCGACUCCUGCGAUUAUCUACAACUUAGAAAUCGGGCGCACAAUUUUGGAAGAGUCGGGACUGCGUAUUACCAGUCCCGCU
Small nuclear RNA from Leptinotarsa decemlineata (Colorado potato beetle), 165 nucleotides. The record is from RefSeq and is a predicted model, not a curated record. Lineage: Eukaryota; Metazoa; Arthropoda; Insecta; Coleoptera; Chrysomelidae.